RNAcentral lists this small nuclear RNA (329 nucleotides) under Carlito syrichta (Philippine tarsier). Its description in RNAcentral is "7SK RNA (ENSTSYG00000031073.1)". It matches the Rfam family "7SK RNA". From Rfam's summary of the family: 7SK was discovered as an abundant small nuclear RNA in the mid-70s but a possible function has only recently been suggested. Lineage: Eukaryota; Metazoa; Chordata; Mammalia; Primates; Tarsiidae. The record is from Rfam by way of RNAcentral.
GAAGGUGAGGGCCAUCUGGCUCAACAUCUGUCACCCCAUUGGCCACCAGAGUUGAUUUGGCUGCCCUGACUGGCUGGCUGGCAGGUGUCCCCUGUCUCUCUCUCCAUUCCAUGUGCAUCCCUCCCAAAGCUGUGCGCUCAGUCGAAAAGGACAACCUUCCCCAACAGAAGAGGAUGGUUCUUCAGUCAAGGGUACAGGAGUAGCUGUGUGCCCUGCUGGAACUUCCAACCAAUUCUCAAGGUCCAUCUGUAGGAGAACACAGGGUAGGUAGGCUUCAGACUCCAGGUGCAUCCAAACAAGGCAUGGCAUGUGGCAGUCUGCCUUUCUUU